This 301-nucleotide ribosomal RNA is filed under the name uncultured bacterium. Its description in RNAcentral is "partial 16S ribosomal RNA". It matches the Rfam family "Bacterial small subunit ribosomal RNA", at positions 509 to 807 of the family's 1533-position model. The record is from RNAcentral.
CAGCAGCCGCGGUAAUACGUAGGGUGCAAGCGUUAAUCGGAAUUACUGGGCGUAAAGCGUGCGCAGGCGGUUAUAUAAGACAGAUGUGAAAUCCCCGGGCUCAACCUGGGAACUGCAUUUGUGACUGUAUAGCUAGAGUACGGCAGAGGGGGAUGGAAUUCCGCGUGUAGCAGUGAAAUGCGUAGAUAUGCGGAGGAACACCGAUGGCGAAGGCAAUCCCCUGGGCAUGUACUGACGCUCAUGCACGAAAGCGUGGGGAGCAAACAGGAUUAGAUACCCCCGUAGUCCCUGUCUCUUAUAC